UACGUAGGGAGCGAGCGUUAUCCGGAAUUAUUGGGCGUAAAGGGUGCGUAGAUGGUUGAUAUAAGUCUUUUGUAAAAAUGCUAGGCUCAACCUAGUAGGGCAAAAGAUACUGAUGAACUAGAGUACGGCAGAGGCAAGUGGAAUUCCUAGUGUAGCGGUGAAAUGCGUAGAUAUUAGGAGGAACACCAGUGGCGAAGGCGGCUUGCUGGACGAUGACUGACGUUGAGGCUCGAAAGCGUGGGGAGCAAACAGG
This 253-nucleotide ribosomal RNA is filed under the name uncultured bacterium. RNAcentral describes it as "partial 16S ribosomal RNA". It matches the Rfam family "Bacterial small subunit ribosomal RNA", at positions 524 to 776 of the family's 1533-position model. The record is from RNAcentral.